GUCUUUUUGAUUUAAAUAUAAAGUAUAACCUGCCCAUUGAAAUUUUAAAAGGCUGCGGUAUAUUGACCGUACAAAGGUAGCAUAAUCAUUAGUUUUUUAAUUGGAAACUCGUAUGAAUGGUUGAAUGAGGAAUAAACUUUUUUAAUAGAAAAAUUGAAUUUUACAUUUUAAUUAAAAGGUUAAAAUAUAUUUAAAAGACGAGAAGACCCUAUAGAGUUUUAUAAUUUAUAUUUAAUGUUAAAAAAAAUUAAUAAAUAUUUUUAUUUAAAUAAUUAUUUUGUUGGGGUGAUGAUAAAAUUUAAUUAACUUUUAUUUUUUUUUACAUUAAUAAAUGAAUAAUUGAUCCACUAAUAGUGAUUAAAAAAUUAAAUUACCUUAGGGAUAACAGCGUAAUUUUUUUUUUAAGUUCAUAUUAAUAAAAAAUUUUGCGACCUCGAUGUUGGAUUAAGAUUUAAUUUUAGGUGCAGAAGUUUAAAAUUUAAGUCUGUUCGACUUUUAAAUUCUU
Molecule: ribosomal RNA, 505 nt
Filed under: Pseudolycoriella sudhausi
Lineage: Eukaryota; Metazoa; Arthropoda; Insecta; Diptera; Sciaridae
Description: partial 16S ribosomal RNA
Source: RNAcentral